RNAcentral lists this ribosomal RNA (484 nucleotides) under uncultured bacterium. RNAcentral describes it as "partial 16S ribosomal RNA". It matches the Rfam family "Bacterial small subunit ribosomal RNA", at positions 30 to 507 of the family's 1533-position model. The record is from RNAcentral.
AUUGAACGCUGGCGGCAGGCCUAACACAUGCAAGUCGAGCGGAUGAAGGGAGCUUGCUCCUGGAUUCAGCGGCGGACGGGUGAGUAAUGCCUAGGAAUCUGCCUGGUAGUGGGGGAUAACGUCCGGAAACGGGCGCUAAUACCGCAUACGUCCUGAGGGAGAAAGUGGGGGAUCUUCGGACCUCACGCUAUCAGAUGAGCCUAGGUCGGAUUAGCUAGUUGGUGGGGUAAAGGCCUACCAAGGCGACGAUCCGUAACUGGUCUGAGAGGAUGAUCAGUCACACUGGAACUGAAACACGGUCCAGACUCCGACGGGAGGCAGCAGUGCGGAAUAUUGGACAAAGGGCGAAAGCCUGAUCCAGCCAUGCCGCGUGGGUGAAGAAGGUCUUCGGAUUGUAAAGCACCUUAAGUGGGGAGGAAGGGCAGUAAGUUAAUCCCUUGCUGUUUUGACGUUACCAACAGAAUAAGCACCGGCUAACUUCGUG